CGGGGAGGUAGCUGGGCCAGCAGAUCCUGGCUGUCCCUGUUUCUCAAGAUGCCAGCAGUCAGCAAAGCAGACCCUCUGAGUUUGCUCACAAGAACAAACUGGAGUAAAUAUUUAACUUGAGUCUUUGGAGUCUAGGGCUUGUACCUUUCUUUAUUAUUAACCCAACCCCUGUUUUUCUUCACAGUUGCAGAGCUGCUGGCACACAGGAAACAAAGGACCCUUGAAAUAACUUCCUCAUGGAGGCAUGAGCAAAGCUCUGCCAACCUGUCAGUCCAGCCAUGCAAGAGAGAGGGAGAGAGACAGAGAAAAAGAAAGGAGAGAGUGAAGGAGAGAUUCUUUCAGAUCUCAGCAGACAUUAAGGUAAAAGCCCAUUUCUCACUUCCUUAAUUACAUUUGUUUCUGUGUGUGUACAUGUAAACAGAAAUCCUGUUACCUUAGAGAGUUUUAAACUAAA
RNAcentral lists this long non-coding RNA (454 nucleotides) under Calidris pugnax (ruff). RNAcentral's name for it is "lncRNA (ENSCPUG00000018955.1)". Lineage: Eukaryota; Metazoa; Chordata; Aves; Charadriiformes; Scolopacidae. The record is from RNAcentral.